AGAGUUUGAUCCUGGCUCAGGAUGAACGCUGGCGGCGUGCUUAACACAUGCAAGUCGAACGAAGUUUUCGGACUUAGUGGCGGACGGGUGAGUAACGCGUGAGGAUCUGGCCUUAGGAGGGGGACAACGACUGGAAACGGUCGCUAAUACCCCAUAUGCCGGGAGGUGAAAUGAUUUUUCGCCUGAGGAUGAACUCGCGUCUGAUUAGCUAGUUGGUGAGGUAAGGGCUCACCAAGGCGACGAUCAGUAGCUGGUCUGAGAGGAUGAUCAGCCACACUGGGACUGAGACACGGCCCAGACUCCUACGGGAGGCAGCAGUGGGGAAUUUUCCGCAAUGGGCGCAAGCCUGACGGAGCAACGCCGCGUGAGGGAGGAAGGCCUUAGGGUUGUAAACCUCUUUUCUCUGGGAAGAAGAUCUGACGGUACCAGAGGAAUAAGCCUCGGCUAACUCCGUGCCAGCAGCCGCGGUAAUAC
This 474-nucleotide ribosomal RNA is filed under the name uncultured bacterium. Its description in RNAcentral is "bacterial SSU rRNA". It matches the Rfam family "Bacterial small subunit ribosomal RNA", at positions 8 to 526 of the family's 1533-position model. The record is from RNAcentral.